This 521-nucleotide ribosomal RNA is filed under the name uncultured Acidobacteriota bacterium. RNAcentral describes it as "bacterial SSU rRNA". It matches the Rfam family "Bacterial small subunit ribosomal RNA", at positions 8 to 507 of the family's 1533-position model. The record is from RNAcentral. Lineage: Bacteria; Pseudomonadati; Acidobacteriota.
AGAGUUUGAUCUUGGCUCAGAAUCAACGCUGGCGGCGUGCCUAAUACAUGCAAGUCGAACGCGAAAGUCCCGCAAGGGGCAAGUAGAGUGGCAAACGGGUGAGUAACGCGUGGGCGACCUACCUUCGAGUGGGGGAUAACCUUCCGAAAGGAGGGCUAAUACCGCAUGACAUCCCGUGUUUAGAUACACGGACAUCAAAGCUGGGGAUCGUAAGACCUGGCGCUUGAAGAGGGGCCUGCGUCCGAUUAGCUAGUUGGUGGGGUAAUGGCCUACCAAGGCGACGAUCGGUAUCCGGCCUGAGAGGGCGGACGGACACACUGGAACUGAGACACGGUCCAGACUCCUACGGGAGGCAGCAGUAGGGAAUUGUUCGCAAUGGGCGCAAGCCUGACGACGCAACGCCGCGUGGAGGAUGAAGAUCUUCGGGUCGUAAACUCCUUUUCGACCGAGAUGAACACCUGCCGACCUAAUACGUCGGCAGGCUGACAGUAUCGAGGGAAGAAGCCCCGGCUAACUCCGUG